Long non-coding RNA from Anguilla rostrata (American eel), 1237 nucleotides. RefSeq lists it as uncharacterized. The record is from RefSeq and is a predicted model, not a curated record. Lineage: Eukaryota; Metazoa; Chordata; Actinopteri; Anguilliformes; Anguillidae. The transcript is spliced from 4 exons.
CUGGCCCUGUGCAGCGGCAGUCGGUGGGGGGGACUGAGGGCUGGGGACAGGCUUUUCACUUUCCACAGCAGUUCAAGACUGGGUGUGAGCACAGACUCUUCUUUCCAGCUGGGAAUUACAAGUUUUUCCAGCGACACCACAACAGCAAUGUCUCCCUGAGAGACCGUGGCUGCGUUCCCUUUGGAUGUUGCUGUGAAGUUCACAGGUGCCGGUCGUCACUCCACCAGGUCCCCCCCUUGCCAAAAGAGACCAGUCCUUCAGCAUGUGUCCCAUAAUUUCACUUCCUCCCAACUACAGACCAAGGAACUCAACCCCUCUUUGUGUUGUGAGCCUCUUCAGAUGACCUUUAGAACAGCACAGUCUACAAAUAGACCCUUACCCACAAACAGCUGCUUCUGCUGAGCUCUAUUCAAUACCACAGAAUACACAGAUGUACCCAAAAGUGGUUACGAUCAGUGCAGCAAUGUUUUAGGUUAAUAAAUGCCAUUGAGUGGUAUUUGAUACAUUAGUUGAUUCUGAUUCUGUUGUUGAAACACAUACCUGUAUCAUGAAUAUUUUCUAGCUGGGUGUAUUUUGGCUGUAUUUUGUCCAUGAUGGACUGGGGUGUUUAUGCUGAGGCCACUGUUUUAAUCUUAAUGAUGUUCUACUCAUGCAUACACACGCACACCCACACACAGAUCACACACACACUGCUCACUUACACACGCACAAUCACACCACACACUUACACACACAUGCGCGCGCACACCCCACACUGUACAAACAUGCACAGUCACAAACACACACCCACACACAAACACACCGCACACUCACACAUACACACUCACAAAUAGACCAAACACUUAAACAUACAGAAUGCACUCACACACUCUUACACCCAAAACACAUACUAUACUUUGCAUGCUUUUGUGAUACAGUAUAUGGGUGAAUAUUUCAAUCAUUGUUCAAAUGUUUAUCAACACUCUUAAACUCACAUAGCAGCUUUCACUUCUAUACUGUAAUAUGCAAAAUGACAAUGUUCCCUGCCUCAUCUAUUAUCUGUCAUGUUCAGCACUGGUAAACAUAUUUACUGGCUGGUAGCUGAUAUAGGGCAGACUUUAUUCUAAAACACCAGCCAGUAUUCACACACGGGAAUGCACACACAAACACACAUAUGUAUGCACAUGUACGCACACACACAUACAAACACACACACACACACACACACUUUGAGUAAAAGCAGAUUUCUUACCUACUG